Molecule: ribosomal RNA, 305 nt
Filed under: uncultured bacterium
Lineage: Bacteria
Description: bacterial SSU rRNA
Rfam family: Bacterial small subunit ribosomal RNA
Source: RNAcentral
UGCUCCUACGGGGGGCAGCAGUGAGGAAUAUUGGUCAAUGGACGAGAGUCUGAACCAGCCAAGUAGCGUGAAGGAUGACUGCCCUAUGGGUUGUAAACUUCUUUUAUAAAGGAAUAAAACGAGGCACGUGUGCCUUUUUGUAUGUACUUUAUGAAUAAGGAUCGGCUAACUCCGUGCCAGCAGCCGCGGUAAUACGGAGGAUGCGAGCGUUAUCCGGAUUUAUUGGGUUUAAAGGGUGCGUAGGCGGAAUGCCAAGUCAGCGGUAAAAUCGCGGGGCUCAACCUCGCUCCGCCGUUGAAACUGGC